GAUAAUAAUACAUACCCCAUUUGAAUCACACAUGCUCUGUCCACAUCCCACUUAUUCUUGCCUCAUUUUGCUUGAUCUCCCUGUUUGUGUUUAUGUAUGUAUGUAUGUAUGUAUAUAUAUGGCUCCCCUCUGUAAUCUAUUUGCUCCAUAAAUUCACCAAGCAACUUUUUUUAAUCUUAGCUACGCAGUCAGGUAAGUUGAUUUUACAUAUAUAUCACUUAUUAGUAUGUAUACAUCUAGUAAGUUCAUAAUGGUUUCAAAUAUAUAUAUAUAUAUAGCUAUGUGUUGGAUAUAUAUUGAAAACUGAUGCAUGUUAGUUUUCUAAUUUCUUUUUCUGGGUUUGUCAGAGAGCAGCGAAUUGAUCAAUGGGGAUGAUGAAAAUAAUGCAGCUUCUAGUAGUUUCUUUGAUCAUGAUCAUGAUGAUCAUGGCGAAUUCUGGUUUGGCUGCAGAGAGGAAGACAUUAUCAGACGAUGACAACCAAGUUAAUCAUGGAAGCAGUGCAGUAAAUAACCACCAUUACAUUCCAAGGCAAGACUUUAACAACUACUACGGUGGAGGCAGUGGAAGUGGUGGUGAAAAAGAUGACGGUGAAAAUGGCAGCGGUUAAUAUAUACAUAUAUAUAUGUAUAUAUAAGCAAAACUAUUAUACAUAAAUAAUAUAUGUAGAACUCUGUGUUAUCAUUUCAAAAAAAUGCUAACUUGUCCUGAACUUAUGCCUGUUCUAUAUAAUUAUUUGUGUUGAUCAUUUAUUUACUUAUAAAUAAAUCUUU
RNAcentral lists this long non-coding RNA (771 nucleotides) under Carica papaya (papaya). RNAcentral's name for it is "long non-coding RNA (CPAP_LNC003669)". The record is from RNAcentral. Lineage: Eukaryota; Viridiplantae; Streptophyta; Magnoliopsida; Brassicales; Caricaceae.